UUUUGAACGACCUUGACAUUUAUGAAUCGUGGCAUCUUCUGUGCGUUUAAAUCUGUUUUGCAAUGUUGUCUUCUCGUUCAGUGACCAGACUUAUUCGAAGUUAUUCCAAGUCACGAGCGUUGUGGACGGGAAAUGAAUCUCUCGCUGAUGAUGACCCAGAGUUGAAGGUCAUUAUAGACAAAGAAAAACAUCGCCAGAAACACGGGCUGGAACUGAUUGCGUCUGAGAAUUUUGCCAGUCGGGCUGUGUUGGAGGCGCUGGGCUCGUGUCUCAACAAUAAAUAUGCUGAGGGAUAUCCUGGUGCUAGAUACUAUGGUGGAAACAUCUUUAUUGAUGAAGUGGAAACGCUUUGUCAGAAGCGAGCACUGGAGACAUUUCGUCUUGACCCAGAAAAGUGGGGCAUCAAUGUUCAGCCGUAUUCUGGCAGCCCGGCAAACUUUGCCGUCUUCACAGGAUUGCUUCAUCCACAUGACCGAAUUAUGGGCCUUGAUCUGCCCGAUGGAGGACAUUUAACUCAUGGCUUUAUGUCAGAUGUGAAACGAGUGUCUGCAACAUCUCUUUUCUUCGAGUCCAUGCCGUAUAAAAUAGAUCCUCACUCUGGCUACAUUGACUACGACAAGCUGAGGAUGACGGCGCGUCUCUUCCGCCCCCGUCUCAUCAUCGCCGGGACGACCGCGUACUCCAGACUUCUUGACUACAAGGUUUUCAGAGAGAUCUGUGAUGAAUCGAAGGCUUACAUGAUGGCCGACAUGGCCCAUAUCUCUGGUCUAGUGGCUGCCGACUUGAUUCCCAGCCCGUUUGAAUACGCUGACGUCGUCACUUCUACCACACACAAGACACUGCGAGGACCCAGAGGUGGCAUUAUCUUCUAUCGGAGGGGUGUGAAGAACACUGACCUGAAAACUGGAAAAGCUGUGAUGUACGAUUUGGAAAAGAAAAUCAAUGGGGCUGUGUUCCCGGCCUUGCAGGGUGGACCACACGAACAUCAGAUAGCAGCCAUCGCCGUCGCUCUCAAACAGGCACAGAGCUCAGAGUUCAAGGAAUACCAAAGACAGGUGAUGAAAAACGCAAAGGUUCUCGGUGAAUCUUUGAUGAAAAAAGGAUACACAGUUGUAUCAGGUGGAACCGACAACCACCUGGUUCUGGUUGACCUGCGACCCAAGGGAACGGACGGAGCGAGAGUGGAGCGAGUUCUCGAACUGUGUUACAUCACCGUUAACAAAAACACGUGCUCCGGAGACAAGAGUGCCAUGACCCCUGGUGGACUCAGGCUGGGAGCUCCUGCCUUGACGACGCGUGGACUCAAAGAGUCGGACUUUGAGAAGGUUGUUGACCUGCUGGACCGGGGCGUACAGAUCGCUCUCGAUGCUCAAAAACAGACAAAAAAGCUAGCUGAAUUCAAGACUUUUGUACUACAAGAUGCUAAAAUCCAAGCCCAGAUUAUGGAAGUGAAGAAAGAUGUAGACGAUUUCUCAAAGAACUACAACAUGCCUGGCUUUGUGGAUAGAUAGAUGACUCAGUUGUCUCCCUUGACACUUUCAAACUGAGACCCACUAACAGUAUUGCUAUGAAAGAAUUAGACAAGAUGCAAGAUGGCCGCCGCAGUUGAUGGCGCAAGCUUACAGGUAGCUCGUCGCAAGCUUACGGGAAGCUCGUCGCAAGCUUACGGGAAGCUCAUCACAAGUGUGCGAGUAGCUCGUCGCAAGUUUGCAAGAAGCUCGUCGCAAGUGUGCGGGAAGCUUGUUGCAAGCUUGCGUGAAACUAGUCGCAAGCAUGCGGGAAGCUCGUCGCAAGCGUGUGGGAAGCAAGAAACUAGUUGCAAGAAACUGAUGGGAAGCUUGCUGCAAGCAUGAAACCAGCUGGUUGCAUGGUUGUAAACAGGUUCCAAAUACUAGCUUGAAACGCUGUACUUACUACUGUAUAAGAUAUGCUUGUACAACAUUGUCGCAAGGUAGUUACCAGCUAGUUACCAGCUAUUUAAUAAGCUUGCAGUUUCCAAAGGUGUCAGUAUCGACUCUUUCCUUAAAGUUGAACAUUAAGGUUUUACGUUUAAAUCGGGGUUUGUUUUUUUACAAACUAUUACAUGUAUGUCUAUAUUUGUAAAUUUUAUUAUAGUAUGUAACAUUAUUUAUACAUGUAUACAUUUGACAGUAACACGUGUAAAGAGGCGUACUGGUCUGCGCCAUUGAAAACAUAUUGUGUAACUCGAUAUUUCAUCGUCUUCAGAUUUACACCCCUUUGAUGUACAUCUUUAUUGUCCAUCAGGUGAUUGUGAAAAUUUACUUGUCUAGGAGAGGCAGACAAUCAUAGUUGUUUUCAGUAUUUUAAAUGCUCAAGCAAUAGUUUGUUACAUUGUACUAUAAACCAAAUAUAUUUUAAAAUAAACUACAUGUAUGUUAUC
This 2401-nucleotide unclassified non-coding RNA is filed under the name Gigantopelta aegis. RNAcentral's name for it is "serine hydroxymethyltransferase, mitochondrial-like, transcript variant X1". Lineage: Eukaryota; Metazoa; Mollusca; Gastropoda; Neomphalida; Peltospiridae. The record is from RNAcentral.